CCAGCUGUUGGCACUGCUGUGGA
Molecule: non-coding RNA, 23 nt
Filed under: Cricetulus griseus (Chinese hamster)
Lineage: Eukaryota; Metazoa; Chordata; Mammalia; Rodentia; Cricetidae
Source: RNAcentral